This is a long non-coding RNA of Dreissena polymorpha, 1311 nucleotides long. RefSeq lists it as uncharacterized. The transcript has 5 exons. The record is from RefSeq and is a predicted model, not a curated record. NCBI's taxonomy places the organism in Eukaryota, Metazoa, Mollusca, Bivalvia, Myida, Dreissenidae.
AAUGGCGGCGCUCGUCUGCAUAGUCGUGUCGGCGAAAGACACCAAUGGAUUUCUUUGAGAGGCAUGCAGAAUCCAGCCACUACUGCUUCCAGUUAAAGAAGUGUUUAUCCGAUGAAUGUGGCUACUGCUCAGUCAACCCAGUCCGAGAUCAGGAUGUUUUUGACCGCCUCAGGUUCCUCUCUGAACCAAAGCCGGACGAAAAUGGUGAACACUACCUACUAUUCAGUGAGUUGUUUGGGAAAGCCCUGACAAGUACAGACCCUCAACCAGACCAUGUGGAACCUAUGAUGAGGAAUUACAGAACCAUGAUAAAGAGAAUCGAGAAAUUUUGAGGAAUGAGAAGCUUUGAGAUGCUGUCCUUUGCGGAGAAUGUAGCAGGCCAAGAUGUGUCUUCAGUCCAAACAAGCGUGACCGACAACAGGAGGAAUUCUUGCGGAACAUUAAGGCAUGCCAUUCGUAUAUCUGUGGAGAUCACUUGGAAGAUGCACCUGAUCUGUAUGUUUGGUGAUGCGUGACCUGCAGCUCUGAGGUGGAAACAGCUUAUUACUCAACCAAGUGUCGGCAUUACCUACCACCAGUAUGCAUCCAAUGUGGAACUCCUGACAGUCUGUUAGAUGACAACGAUGCAUAUGUUGCAGAUUUGUAUACAAAAUAUUCCAUAGUCAGGCCAAUUUGUGUGUCUUGUCGACAUUCUGGAAAAGAGGCAAAAACAUGGGGCACCAAGAAGUUUGUAAAAAAACAAAGUCAAGUGAACUUAUUCAAGCCUUCAAACGUUCCUACUUUGAUUUGGUUUGGUAAUGAGACCAAAGCAAAAGUAUGUGUUUAUGAUGACCAUCAUCAUCAUGUUUAUAAAUGUUAACCUGUUGUGAUUGAAAAUGAAAAAUCAUGGAUUGGAAUAAAGAGCAAAUGCUUUAACUUUUAAAAAUAUUAGUGUUUCGUAUUUGCCAGUUUAAUUUCUAUUUCUACAGAUUUUAAUUGUUUUGUGUUAAGAUUAAAGUUGAUACUAGUCAUUUGUGAUUGCACUUUUCUUGGAAAAGUAUGUUUUAUUGUAAAUUGAUGUGUUUUUAGCUCACCUGAGCGAUAGCUCGGGGUGAGCUAUUGUGAUCACUCAGCAUCCGGCGUCCGGCCGUCCGUCUGUCUGUAAACAAUUUGUAAACAUCUUCUUCUACUAAACCAUUGAGCCAAUUUCAACUAAAUUUCAUGUGGAGCAUCCCUAGGUCAUGGGACAAAAGAUUUGUUAAAAAAAAUUGGAUCACAUAACCAAGAUGGCCGCCAUGACCAUAUAUGGUAAAAACCUUAAAAAAUCUUCUU